Molecule: ribosomal RNA, 119 nt
Filed under: Schistocephalus solidus
Lineage: Eukaryota; Metazoa; Platyhelminthes; Cestoda; Diphyllobothriidea; Diphyllobothriidae
Source: RNAcentral
GUCAACUAUCAUAUCACGUAGAAAGCACCGGUUCUUGUCUGAUCGCCAAAGUUUAGCAUCGCUGGACCCGUUUAGUACUUGCAUGGUCGACCGGCUGGAAAUACCAGGUGUUACCGACG